RNAcentral lists this ribosomal RNA (296 nucleotides) under uncultured bacterium. RNAcentral describes it as "partial 16S ribosomal RNA". It matches the Rfam family "Bacterial small subunit ribosomal RNA", at positions 475 to 776 of the family's 1533-position model. The record is from RNAcentral.
CUAUGCGCCUUGCCAGCCCGCUCAGGUGUGCCAGCCGCCGCGGUAAUACGUAUGGAGCAAGCGUUAUCCGGAUUUACUGGGUGUAAGGGAGCGUAGGCGGCCCGCCAAGUCUGAUGUGAAAUACCGGGGCUCAACCCCGGGGCUGCAUUGGAAACUGGCAGGCUGGAGUGUCGGAGAGGCAGGCGGAAUUCCUAGUGUAGCGGUGAAAUGCGUAGAUAUUAGGAGGAACACCAGUGGCGAAGGCGGCCUGCUGGACGAUGACUGACGCUGAGCACGAAGGCCAGGGAGCGAACAGG